AUGAGAUACUUGGGGCUACCCCUCUCAUUUAGGAGGCUAAAGAGGAUCCACUUCCAAUUCCUAGAGGACAAGAUUGCCGACAAGCUCCGGCCUUGGGCGGCUAGGCAUGUUGCCACCCCCGGUCAUAUUGUUUUGGUUAAAGCGGUGCUCAUGGACAUUGAAUUUACCAUCUCACGCCCCUUGAGCUACCGGCUGAAGUCAGAAAGAAAAUUGAUAGCUUGGGACGCGCCUACAUAUGGGCUGGCUGUGACAAGGUCACCACUGGGAAAUAUAAAGUCAAUUGGGACCUGGUGUGCAGCCCAAGAUUUUUGGUGGCCUAGGUGUGCUCAAUCUCGACAAGUUUGCCAUCGCCCUUCACCUUUGUUGGCUUUGCUAAGAAUGGGUCGACCCUCCCAAGCCUUGGUUAGGCAGUGGGAUGCCAUGUACUGA
RNAcentral lists this ribosomal RNA (429 nucleotides) under Triticum aestivum (bread wheat). RNAcentral's name for it is "partial small subunit ribosomal RNA". Lineage: Eukaryota; Viridiplantae; Streptophyta; Magnoliopsida; Poales; Poaceae. The record is from RNAcentral.